This 123-nucleotide microRNA precursor is filed under the name Phaseolus vulgaris (common bean). RNAcentral's name for it is "pre miRNA mir-399". Lineage: Eukaryota; Viridiplantae; Streptophyta; Magnoliopsida; Fabales; Fabaceae. The record is from RNAcentral.
GAACCAGUUACAGGGCAUAUCUUCUUUGGCACAUGCUCGAGUCUCUCGACGACAACCUAUUUGGUUUUUGUACGAGGUUUCAGUUCUGGACGUGCCAAAGGAGAGUUGCCCUGCAACUCAUUC